AGAAGGUGAUGUUUGACUUCCUGUACAGCUGCAGUUCGUGUGGUGAAGGUGCUCCCACAAUGUGGUUGGGGAUCUGCACUGGAACCCUUCUGUUUGCGGGACAAAUAUAUAUAAGUGACAUGGAUUAAAAUCUAAUUUGCUUUGAUGGAGAUGUGUUGAAAAUGUUUGCAGUUACUGAUCUGCUGAACCAAAAUGACCCCUUUUAAACUGAUGAUUGGAC
Molecule: long non-coding RNA, 220 nt
Organism: Hemiscyllium ocellatum (epaulette shark)
Lineage: Eukaryota; Metazoa; Chordata; Chondrichthyes; Orectolobiformes; Hemiscylliidae
Exons: 3
Source: RefSeq, a predicted model, not a curated record